CCUACGGGGGGCUGCAGUGGGGAAUAUUGGACAAUGGGCGAAAGCCUGAUCCAGCAAUGCCGCGUGAGUGAUGAAGGCCUUAGGGUUGUAAAGCUCUUUUACCCGGGAUGAUAAUGACAGUACCGGGAGAAUAAGCCCCGGCUAACUCCGUGCCAGCAGCCGCGGUAAUACGGAGGGGGCUAGCGUUGUUCGGAAUUACUGGGCGUAAAGCGCGCGUAGGCGGCUUUGUAAGUUAGAGGUGAAAGCCCAGAGCUUAACUCUGGAAUUGCCUUUAAGACUGCAUCGCUUGAAUCAUGGAGAGGUGAGUGGAAUUCCGAGUGUAGAGGUGAAAUUCGUAGAUAUUCGGAAGAACACCAGUGGCGAAGGCGACUCACUGGACAUGUAUUGACGCUGAGGUGCGAAAG
Molecule: ribosomal RNA, 404 nt
Filed under: uncultured Megasphaera sp.
Lineage: Bacteria; Bacillati; Bacillota; Negativicutes; Veillonellales; Veillonellaceae
Description: bacterial SSU rRNA
Rfam family: Bacterial small subunit ribosomal RNA
Source: RNAcentral